Molecule: ribosomal RNA, 254 nt
Filed under: uncultured bacterium
Lineage: Bacteria
Description: partial 16S ribosomal RNA
Rfam family: Bacterial small subunit ribosomal RNA
Source: RNAcentral
UACGUAGGGACCAAGCGUUGUUCGGAUUUACUGGGCGUAAAGGGCGCGUAGGCGGCAAUUCAAGUCAUCUGUGAAAUCUCCGGGCUUAACCCGGAACGGUCAGAUGAUACUGCUUUGCUAGAGUGCGGAAGGGGCAAUCGGAAUUCUCGGUGUAGCGGUGAAAUGCGUAGAUAUCGAGAGGAACACCUGAGGUGAAGACGGGUUGCUGGGCCGACACUGACGUUGAGUGCGCGAAAGCCAGGGGAGCAAACGGG